GUCUUCUUGAUUAAUAUUUUGAAGUCUGGCCUGCUCACUGACAAGGUUUUAAAGAGCCGCGGUAUUUUGCCCGUGCAAAGGUAGCAUAAUCAUUAGUCUCUUAAUUAGGGGCUGGAAUGAAUGGCUUGACGAGAAAUCAACUGUCUCUUAUUAAUUUAUAAAAUUUAACUUUUGAGUUAAAAGGCUUAAAUUAAUCUUAAAGACGAGAAGACCCUAUAGAGCUUGACAUUUUAUUUUUAUAUAGUUUUUGGAAAGUUUUUCUAUAUUUAAUGAAAAUGUUUUGUUGGGGUGACAUGAAGAAUAAUUAAACUCUUCAUUAUAAAAUCAUUGAUUUAUGUUUAUUUUGAUCCAUAAUUUAUGAUCAUAAGAUUAAGUUACCUUAGGGAUAACAGCGUAAUUGUUUUCGAGAGCUCAUAUUGACAAAGCAGAUUGCGACCUCGAUGUUGGAUUAAGAAUAAUUUUGGGUGCGGGAGCCCAGUAAUUAGGUCUGUUCGACCUUUAAAUUCUU
This 508-nucleotide ribosomal RNA is filed under the name Scotussa lemniscata. Its description in RNAcentral is "partial 16S ribosomal RNA". It matches the Rfam family "Archaeal large subunit ribosomal RNA", at positions 1911 to 2666 of the family's 2987-position model. The record is from RNAcentral. Lineage: Eukaryota; Metazoa; Arthropoda; Insecta; Orthoptera; Acrididae.